RNAcentral lists this ribosomal RNA (292 nucleotides) under uncultured bacterium. Its description in RNAcentral is "partial 16S ribosomal RNA". The record is from RNAcentral.
GGACUACCGGGGUAUCUAAUCCUGUUUGCUCCCCACGCUUUCGAGUCUCAGCGUCAGUAUUCGUCCAGUUGGCCGCCUUCGCCACCGGUGUUCCUCCCGAUAUCUACGAAUUUCACCUCUACACCGAGAAUUCCACCAACCUCUCCGAUACUCAAGCCAAGCAGUAUCGAAUGCACUUCCCGGGUUGAGCCCGGGGCUUUCACAUCCGACUUACCAAGCCGCCUACACUCGCUUUACGCCCAGUAAUUCCGAACAACGUUUGCACCCUCUGUCUUACCGCGGCUGCUGGCAC